This 282-nucleotide ribosomal RNA is filed under the name uncultured bacterium. Its description in RNAcentral is "partial 16S ribosomal RNA". It matches the Rfam family "Bacterial small subunit ribosomal RNA", at positions 330 to 631 of the family's 1533-position model. The record is from RNAcentral.
UUCGGCCUAUGGGGGGCAGCAGUGGGGAAUAUUGCACAAUGGGGGAAACCCUGAUGCAGCGACGCCGCGUGAGCGAGGAAGUAUUUCGGUAUGUAAAGCUCUGUCAGCAGGGAAGAAGAAUGACGGUACCUGAAGAAGAAGCACCGGCUAAAUACGUGCCAGCAGCCGCGGUAAUACGUAUGGUGCAAGCGUUAUCCGGAUUUACUGGGUGUAAAGGGAGCGCAGGCGGUUCUGCCAGUCUGAUGUGAAAGCCCGGGGCUCAACCGCGGGACUGCCUUGGAA